RNAcentral lists this small RNA (97 nucleotides) under Escherichia coli. Its description in RNAcentral is "partial RtT sRNA". It matches the Rfam family "RtT RNA", at positions 36 to 130 of the family's 130-position model. From Rfam's summary of the family: This family represents a bacterial cis-regulatory element known as RtT RNA. The exact function of RtT is unknown although it is thought that it may be involved in changing the cellular response in relation to amino acid starvation. Lineage: Bacteria; Pseudomonadati; Pseudomonadota; Gammaproteobacteria; Enterobacterales; Enterobacteriaceae. The record is from RNAcentral.
CCAAGGUUCGACUUGAGCGCCAGCGAGAGAGCGUUGCCGCAGGCAACGACCCGAAGGGCGAAGCGCGCAGCGCUGAGUAAUCCUUCCCCCACCACCA